This 294-nucleotide ribosomal RNA is filed under the name uncultured bacterium. Its description in RNAcentral is "partial 16S ribosomal RNA". It matches the Rfam family "Bacterial small subunit ribosomal RNA", at positions 334 to 625 of the family's 1533-position model. The record is from RNAcentral.
UGUGCCUACGGGGGGCAGCAGUGAGGAAUAUUGGUCAAUGGUCGGGAGACUGAACCAGCCAAGCCGCGUGAGGGAUGAAGGUACAGAGUAUCGUAAACCUCUUUUGUCGGGGAACAAAGGCGGGGACGUGUCCCCGGAUGAGUGUACCUGAAGAAAAAGCAUCGGCUAACUCCGUGCCAGCAGCCGCGGUAAUACGGAGGAUGCGAGCGUUAUCCGGAGUUAUUGGGUUUAAAGGGCGCGCAGGCGGUCUGUUAAGUCAGCCGUCAAAGCCCGGGGCUCAAACCCGGCCCGCCG